Molecule: long non-coding RNA, 1126 nt
Organism: Stegostoma tigrinum
Lineage: Eukaryota; Metazoa; Chordata; Chondrichthyes; Orectolobiformes; Stegostomatidae
Exons: 4
Source: RefSeq, a predicted model, not a curated record
UUGCUGCCGUAAAUGAGUCUCUAACUUGAGAAAAGUCGCGCUGUGGUCGGCAGCGAGAAUGAUUUGUCCGGUCCUCCCCUCCAGUGAAGUAAAAGCCCGAUCUGCACGCAGUUGCUUGCCUUGCUUCAGAUGUGGAAGCUGGGCUCAGCGUCUGGAAAGAAGCUCCCUGUGCUUCAAGCUUCUGGGGACCUUGCAACGUCAUCGCAUGCCUGCACUCGGGAUUCAGCGGAAAAAAAAUGCGAGAGCAGUCCGCAAGCGCCAGCGGAACUGAGAUUACACGAAUGUGACUCACAUUACUACAAACUAUUGGAAGCACGCUAGCCACAGCAGUCCGUAGUGUGAUGGUGAAGAUGCGAUGCUAACCAAGCUGUUUCAGAUGCAGCACAGAACUAAUCAAAGCAACCAAAACAGAUUUACAAGAUACAUAGAUGAGCCUGAAAAAUGGGCAAAGAUUUCUGUUGUUCCUCUGUGUGAUUGGGACAACACAUCCAUCCUGGGACAGGCCAAACAGAGACACGCACGAGAAUUCCUAGAAUCAUGGCAUUCCAACCAGAACUCCAUCAACAAACACAUUGAUUUGGAGCCCAUCUACCACCCUUUGAGAAAAAGAACAGGAAAUGACAUCAACACAGGAAAUGUCAUCACCAACCCAAGGAAACCUAAACACAUAAAUAGAAAGCGGGACAUAACACCAGCGCUUCACCGGAGGCUCACUGAUGACGUUACCUAGAAUGGUGAUGAAACGUCUGAAAACGAACCUUCCAGCUCAGCAAGCAAACUUACAUCCAGAACCUCAACCUGAGCUACAAAUCUUCUCAAAACUCGCUACCAUUGUUCUAGUCUUACACGUCCUCACAGAGGUUACAUCAAUGGUUUUCAAUGGACCAUACUCUUUCUCUAGUUAUUCCCUUGCUCUUAUAAUUCUUCCUACCAAAGCUUUCUCAUCUACUUUAUUUUUACCAACUCCAUUUUUAUGUCCCAUCCCCCUGUCCUCUUUAUGGUCUUUUAGGGACUCUGCCAUAUUGAGUGCCUGGUAUCUGCCACAAGAUUCUCCUUGUUCCUUAGUCAUAACUUUUAUGUACUUUUAUUUGAAUUAACUAUAAAGGAUUCUUUAUGUUACAACAAG